Molecule: ribosomal RNA, 253 nt
Filed under: uncultured bacterium
Lineage: Bacteria
Description: partial 16S ribosomal RNA
Rfam family: Bacterial small subunit ribosomal RNA
Source: RNAcentral
UACGAAGGGUGCAAGCGUUACUCGGAAUUACUGGGCGUAAAGCGUGCGUAGGCGGUUUGUUAAGUCUGUCGUGAAAGCCCCGGGCUCAACCUGGGAGUGGCGAUGGAAACUGGCGAGCUAGAGUACGGUAGAGGAGAGUGGAAUUCCCGGUGUAGCAGUGAAAUGCGUAGAGAUCGGGAGGAACACCAGUGGCGAAGGCGGCUACCUGGACCAGCACUGACACUGAAGCACGAAAGCAUGGGGAGCAAACAGG